This 785-nucleotide ribosomal RNA is filed under the name uncultured marine bacterium. RNAcentral's name for it is "bacterial SSU rRNA". It matches the Rfam family "Bacterial small subunit ribosomal RNA", at positions 60 to 850 of the family's 1533-position model. The record is from RNAcentral.
AGUCGAGCGAAGCUUUUCAGUAGUUUACUACAGAAAAUGACUGAGCGGCGAACGGGUGAGUAACGCGUGAGCAAUCUACCUUAGUUACAGGGAUAGCCCGAGGAAACUCGGAUUAAUACCUGAUAUUCUUUAUAUUUCGCAUGAAAUUAAAAGGAAAGGUCAGCCGAACUAAGAUGAGCUCGCGUUCUAUCAGCUAGUUGGUGAGGUAAAAGCUCACCAAGGCUACGACGGAUAGCUGGUCUGAGAGGACGAUCAGCCACACCGGGACUGAGACACGGCCCAGACUCCUACGGGAGGCCGCAGCAGGGAAUAUUGUGCAAUGAACGAAAGUUUGACACAGCGACACCGCGUGUGGGAUGACGGAUCUAGGUUUGUAAACCACUUUCAGGAGGGAAGAAAAUGACGGUACCUCCACAAGAAGCCCCGGCCAACUACGUGCCAGCAGCCGCGGUAAUACGUAGGGGGCGAGCGUUGUCCGGAUUUAUUGGGCGUAAAGAGCUCGUAGGCGGUUCAACAAGUCGUUCGUGAAAGUUCAGGGCUCAACCCUGAAAUAUCGAUCGAUACUGUUGUGACUAGGAUACGGUAGAGGUGAGUGGAAUUCCGAGUGUAGCGGUGAAAUGCGUAGAUAUUCGGAGGAACACCAAUUGCGAAGGCAGCUCACUGGGCCGCUAUCGACGCUGAGGAGCGAAAGCUAGGGGAGCAAACAGGAUUAGAUACCCUGGUAGUCCUAGCUGUAAACGAUGGAUACUAGACGUAGGAACUGGAUUGACGGUUUCUGUGUCGCA